RNAcentral lists this ribosomal RNA (301 nucleotides) under uncultured bacterium. RNAcentral's name for it is "partial 16S ribosomal RNA". It matches the Rfam family "Bacterial small subunit ribosomal RNA", at positions 509 to 807 of the family's 1533-position model. The record is from RNAcentral.
CAGCCGCCGCGGGAAUACGUAGGUGGCAAGCGUUGUCCGGAAUUAUUGGGCGUAAAGGGCUCGCAGGCGGUUUCUUAAGUCUGAUGUGAAAGCCCCCGGCUCAACCGGGGAGGGUCAUUGGAAACUGGGAAACUUGAGUGCAGAAGAGGAGAGUGGAAUUCCACGUGUAGCGGUGAAAUGCGUAGAGAUGUGGAGGAACACCAGUGGCGAAGGCGACUCUCUGGUCUGUAACUGACGCUGAUGAGCGAAAGCGUGGGGAGCGAACAGGAUUAGAUACCCCGGUAGUCCCUGUCUCUUAUAC